Suricata suricatta (meerkat) is the source of this 1880-nucleotide long non-coding RNA. RefSeq lists it as uncharacterized. The record is from RefSeq and is a predicted model, not a curated record. The transcript is spliced from 2 exons. NCBI's taxonomy places the organism in Eukaryota, Metazoa, Chordata, Mammalia, Carnivora, Herpestidae.
AAAUUCUGGAAUUGGGGUUUACAUUCGGAUCUAGGGGAGUUCUGAUGACGUGGAUUCCAGUGCCUGACUUAUGCCCAAUCCAGCCAUAAUCUUUGGAAGAAUGGAAUGAUUCCUGCGCUUUGGCCCUAGGUCUUGGGGCGGCAGUGACUCACGGCAGCACCCCCUUACCCCCCCGCGCGUCAAGCUGCCGUCUCCGCCCACCCCCAAACAAUCUUCAACAACCAGCCGCAGCUCCUGGCGCUUUGCUGGGGGCUGGAGGGGCUCAUCCCUGCGCUCGUAUCCCAGCCAGCGAAAAUCUUCCUCGACCCUGUCUUCAGGCUUGCCUCGCUCCCCACCCGACCCUUCCGUAGAGCAGUGAAGAUGGAUGCGACAGCCAAACCGAGGACGCAGGAUCCACCAACGACAGCGCUCGGCAGGGACAGCCAAAUGCCCCCGGGCUACCCCGCCAGCAGGGUGCAGAGUCGGACUGCGCCACACCCCCACUCCGAGUUCUACCCUAAUUCAAAGCGUCCGGGGCAAGCUCCGCCCUCUUCCCCGCCUCCGGAGUCCUUGGCCCACCCUUCCGUUCCUGGGACGGACCUGUUCCCUGUCAAUCCUGUUGAGCCUCAGGGUUCCUGGCGCGUGAAAAAAGGCCCAGAGAGAUCGCAGGGACUCUAGAUUACGCACCGCCCUCCACGACACACUGAAGGAACUCCCCAUACUCGAGGCUGGGGAUCCUCAGCCCACACCCCUGACUCAAGACGCGCCAAUAAGGAGUCGGGUCCUGCCUGCGCUCAGCUGCUCCGCUCCUGGGCGGCUGUGUUUGCUACAAGGAAGGGCAGGCAACUCUGGAGUUUGGAAACCGACUUCCAAGCCGCCUACUGGCGUUGGGCAAGGAGCAACGUAGCUGAGUUCGGACUCUAGAAAGCUCCGAAACACACGGAACCCCCUGGUAACGGAUGCGUGCGCUCCUCUCCAGUGUAAGCGCACGCACUGGGCUAGUCACCCAAACCGCUGGAUGCCAACCAGUUUCUAGCGGAUAUUUAAUGCCAGAGUGGAAACUCGGCGCAGUUGUGGGUCGUAGGCUAGAGAGCAAUGAAGUCUUCCAGAAACUGGCGAAGAGGCGGGAGGGAAGAGGAGCGCGCACCAACUCACCAUUCCUGAGCAGAGGCUGAUGACCGCGGUGUGCUGGGACCCGGUAGACUUGGUGUUGACAUGGCCUUUGUAGAAGCAGUGCUUGAGUUCCGCUUCCUCCUCGGAAUAAAACUUUGUCUGAUUCUCCCCGGGCGUCCCGAGAAGGGUGACCGUGAACAUUGGAGCGAUAAAUCCGGAAUGGGCAGAGAGAUUAAAUAGAAAUUGCUGGCCGAAGGCAGAGAGGCGGUAAUGCUCCUGGUCGGAGGUAGAGGCGGAGGAUGAGGAGGCAAAGGCCGGCCAGGGGUCAGAGGCAGAGUUAAUGCUCCGUCGCCUUCUUUUGAAGUGCACGUUCGUGGAAACGGGUUCUCCGAGAGCGUUCACUCGGAUGGGAGAGGCGAUUUCGUAUUCGCUCAGGGUCUCUAAUAAUUUCACUGCAGGGAGAACCAGAGACACAUGAAGCAGUAACUCAAUUUUCUGCAGACCAAUUUCUCUCAAGUUUUAAUUUAAAAAAGGGGGGGGGGCUUUGUCCCGGGUUAUUUUCCAGCAGUUAUUUUUUGCCCGUUUGAGUCAAUUGCCUUCACCCUCAGCCAGUGCACCGAUAUUUGCGGAGGACCUACUAUGUGCCAGGAAUAGCCAGGAACUGUUCUAGAAGCUGAGGAUACACGAUUCAGAAUCUGACAAUGAACAAGUCAAAAUACAUAAGAUAAAUUUCAUAUUCUGACAAAUAAUCUGAAUAAAAUAAAACAAGUCACUGUGUGCUACCCUCA